GAAGGAGGCUGCUUUUCAGUCGUUGUUUUUCAAGACGGCACACCAGCUAUGAAAUACCAUGUCCUCAUAGCCGGAGUUGGUGCCUACACUGCUGUCAUCCGGGGGGAAAAUUCAAAACAUGACUGUUUACUAAAGCCCUUGGAACCUAGUACUCCCAGCACAGCACUCUGUAACUGGAUAUUCUUUAAGGGAUUUUUUAAAACUGCAAAAGACAGUUUGUAGCUUUAAGAAUUACCCCUAGGGGGCAUUUAGCCAUGAAAACAAGAGCAUGCCAUUGUCAGCGCUGAAAUCUCGGUGACUGCAAGCUGUUCCCAGAAGCAGGAAACCAAUACAAAGCAAUGCCAGGUGAUUUUAUCCUGCAAAGUGGAAUAAGAGGAGAGAAGAUAAACUUGAGCAGGAAGAGAACAACCAGCAAUGCUAGAAUGAAGAAUGAUGCAGGGAGGAGAUGGAACUGCAGGGAGAAUUUCAUCAGGAAUAUGCAUCCCUAGCUAACAGAACUGUAUCAGAAGGAUUGUGAUGGUGAGUAGAAGGGGAGUCAAUCUAAACUUGCACAAUUUGCAAAGGUUUGGGCAAAGAAGGCAGCCAUUGCUCUUCAAGCAUUGGAGUAAGAUGUAGAAAUUCCACCAGUCACCUCCAAAUCCAGGGUCCUUCUUUAGCCAAUGUAGGCCACAAGACUGGUUCCAAAAUUGUUGGAAUAGAAGAGGCAAGCAAAUAUCAUAGAUCACCAACAAGACUGAUUCU
This is a non-coding RNA of Anolis sagrei ordinatus, 741 nucleotides long. The record is from RefSeq and is a predicted model, not a curated record. Lineage: Eukaryota; Metazoa; Chordata; Lepidosauria; Squamata; Anolidae.